Molecule: long non-coding RNA, 722 nt
Organism: Caretta caretta (loggerhead turtle)
Lineage: Eukaryota; Metazoa; Chordata; Testudines; Cheloniidae
Source: RefSeq, a predicted model, not a curated record
AUUAGGGAUUCUCACUAAGAAACCUCUAACAGAGACAGACCUUUUCCAGAUUGCUAGUGCCUGCCCAGCAGUCCGUGCAGAAUACAGGCCUACAGUAGACAGUACAACAAUCUGUGAACAACUACUGAUUCGACAUACCGGGCACCCAGUGAAUGGGUUCAGGGCAGUUGCAGGUACAGAGAAACCACGACUAGUACUGUUUUGAAAUAAAGACCGUGGCCUGUGUAAGCCAAGAUACUCUGCACUGCCUGAAGAUCUCUGCAGUGCUCUUAAACUCCUCCACUGAGACAGAUUGGCUGAAGAGCUGCUACUCUUUGUGCUUUAAAAGACUUGUGCUACCAACUGUCGACAUAAAGGUACUAUAGCUAAAGCACACAAGGAAUAUAUACCAUCAAAAGUAAUUGAAACGGAUAAACGUUGGCAAAAAGGUUUCAGUAAUUUCUCCCCCUGUUUCUGUAGAAUAGUUUGGUAGAAUAUUACUUCAUCUGAAUAAAUGAAUGUAACUUGAGCUGUACUGCUGUUCUAUUUUACCAUAAACUAUGAUACUUCUAUUAAGGUACUCGUCAUACAAAAAAUAAUCUCUUCCCAAAAAGCUUUAAUAUAGCUUAGAUCAUGCAAAAUGCCUGAGCUUGUUAGCCAUAAAUGAAAGCAAUUUCACUUCAAUUAUUUUAGUCUCAUCUACAGACAGUGUUUAUGCCAGUGAUAUUUUUUCUGCCUCUUUC